CCUAUAAAUUUCUUUAGCUGCCCUCAUCAACUCAAGAAUUCUUCCCUUUUCACAGUUGUUACUCCUCAUUGUGUCUCUCAUUAUUCAUCCAUUCUUCCCAACACAUAUGCUUAUAUCAAGGUGGGACACUUGAAUGCUUCUGAGCUACCACAUUUGUGCACACUUGAUCUCGUAGUCAUGACUUCAUGGCCGGAAUUUAAGGAUUUCGACAAUGUUUCGCUGUCUGAAAUCCACCAAUCUCUCUUGUACGGAUUUGAACUUGUCUUCUGCCCCAAGUGCAAAACAACCCGGACCGGUUUCAUUGAAUCCAUCUUCUCCGGUAUGUACAUCGUUCUUGUGAUAAUUGUAGGUGCGCCCUUAAUUUAUCCAUCAUUAAAUAUUCAGCUUUCUUUUUCAAGCUGUUUUAUGUGCAGUGGUAAGCCCUCCUGUGUUCACCAUCUUUGGUUUCGCGGCUGUAUCAAUGCUUUUAUAUUAUAUACCAGCU
This is a non-coding RNA of Salvia hispanica, 484 nucleotides long. Lineage: Eukaryota; Viridiplantae; Streptophyta; Magnoliopsida; Lamiales; Lamiaceae. The record is from RefSeq and is a predicted model, not a curated record.